UCCACUUCCGUUCUGUGGACACAGGUGGCUCGAAAAUCUACCAGUCGUGGAGAGAGCUUUGGAAUUCUGGCCAUCAGUGACCAUGUACAUGGAUGCAGUCAGGAAAAAGAAGCUACCAAAUCCGGGAACAGCAUCGUAUGACACUCUUGAAGUUGCUGAAAAAGACCCUCUUAUUCUGGCGAAGCUACAUUUCUACAUGGCUAUCACAAGGACCUUCAGUCCUUUUCUUACCUUCUAUCAAACGGAUGUACCAGUGAUUCCGUUCCUUGCCAAAGACUUGGCUGAGCUGAUGAAGAGGUACUCAAGGAUAUCGGUUCACUGCAGCUGGUCAGGCUGGAUGUCAGUGACAAACAGAGCUGGGUCAACCUAAAGGAAGUAAACAUGGGAUUGGGUGCAGAAUCACUCCUUAAGGUGAUGUUAUAAUCCAGCAAUUCAAUGAUUUUUUAUCUGUUGAAAAUGAGAGCUUAUUCUCAUACAAACCAACAGAAACCAGGCUAGACAUAUUCCUGCAUGGAGUUCUUGGGCAGUGCCAUGAGUUAUGGAGCUUUUGCAAGAAACUGCUUCUCCUGUCCCAUGGGCAGGCAACAGUGGAGAGAGGAUUCUCCAUUAAUAAAGAAGUGGAGACCUGCAAUAUGCAGGAGGAGACAAUGGUCAGUCAUCGACUAAUAUGUGAUGUCAGCAUCUGUGGGGGGCUCCUCAA
Molecule: long non-coding RNA, 700 nt
Organism: Carassius carassius (crucian carp)
Lineage: Eukaryota; Metazoa; Chordata; Actinopteri; Cypriniformes; Cyprinidae
Exons: 3
Source: RefSeq, a predicted model, not a curated record